UUGGGAAGUUAGGGUGGAAGAUUGCCAGCAGCCAUGGCCUCCCAUGAGGGUGUCCCUUUCAAGUUUGAGAACGCACUGGGGGACUGCAGAUGGUGUUGACAGCAGCUGAGGCUACAUUCCCAGGAGUCUCCAGCCAUCACCCCAAAAGCAAGGUGUGGGUCAGCCAACUUUUGUUCUGGACAGGCACGGUUGGUGGUCCUGUCUCCCACAGGAUCUUCUGUACCAUUUAAUAAAGUUUUGUUUAUAAGACUGA
RNAcentral lists this long non-coding RNA (253 nucleotides) under Rattus norvegicus (Norway rat). RNAcentral's name for it is "long non-coding RNA NONRATT004379". Lineage: Eukaryota; Metazoa; Chordata; Mammalia; Rodentia; Muridae. The record is from RNAcentral.